GCCUACAGCCCUGCCACCUUGAACAAGCCUGAUUCCAUCUGAUCUUGGAAGCUAAGCAGGGUCGGGCUUGGUGUUAGUACUUGGAUGGGAGAUCACCUAGGAAGACCAGGUGCUGUAGGCG
Pteropus vampyrus (large flying fox) is the source of this 121-nucleotide ribosomal RNA. The record is from Ensembl. NCBI's taxonomy places the organism in Eukaryota, Metazoa, Chordata, Mammalia, Chiroptera, Pteropodidae.